Molecule: ribosomal RNA, 539 nt
Filed under: uncultured bacterium
Lineage: Bacteria
Description: bacterial SSU rRNA
Rfam family: Bacterial small subunit ribosomal RNA
Source: RNAcentral
GAGGAAUAUUGGUCAAUGGACGAAAGUCUGAACCAGCCAAGUAGCGUGCAGGAUGACGGCCCUCCGGGUUGUAAACUGCUUUUAGUUGGGAAUAAAAAAAGGGACGUGUCCCUUAUUGUAUGUACCUUCAGAAAAAGGACCGGCUAAUUCCGUGCCAGCAGCCGCGGUAAUACGGAAGGUCCAGGCGUUAUCCGGAUUUAUUGGGUUUAAAGGGAGCGUAGGCGGAUUGUUAAGUCAGCGGUUAAAGGGUGUGGCUCAACCAUACAUUGCCGUUGAAACUGGCGAUCUUGAGUGCAGACAGGGAUGCCGGAAUUCGUGGUGUAGCGGUGAAAUGCUUAGAUAUCACGAAGAACUCCGAUCGCGAAGGCAGGUGUCCGGGCUGCAACUGACGCUGAGGCUCGAAAGUGUGGGUAUCAAACAGGAUUAGAUACCCUGGUAGUCCACACAGUAAACGAUGUAUACUCGCGGUUUGCGAUAGAGUGUAAGCCGCCAAGCGAAAGCAUUAAGUAUACCACCUGGGGAGUACGCCGGCAACGGUG